UCUCAUUUAGUCUAUCCAAAUGCAUGAUGCCAUGCAACCCAAAUGGACCAUGCCGGGUCGGGUCAAGUACAUACCAGAAAUAGUUAUGGAUUUAGACACCUUAUCCAACAGUCUCCCACUUGGAUAAGUCUAAUAACUAUAACUGCAAGUAUGACUUUACGAACCGAUCAAUGAUCGUUGCUCUUUCAAGGUCUCUCAGAACUGAGAAGAUGAUGAUACGCCAUUUAAGAUAUGUGAUCAUAUAAUCCUAUGUUCUAGAUAUCAACUGGACAAAUACAUGGAACAAUGUCUUAUUUAUUGUCCAACUGUUUCUUUCCUGAUUUCCGAUUUAUUUGGCAUAGAACUUAAAUGAACGCAUCAAAUUAGUUCUGACCGGGCCUGGUACAUAGGUCAAAAACAAAAUUGUUAAGGGGCCCAGAUAUCAGCCUCUAAUCCAAGAAAGAUUAGAUAAACUUUGACUCAUAUGUUUGAAGGGUUUUGAGCAUUCUAACACUUCCUAAGUGUACAUGCAACCCUAAUAACCUUGGAUCUAUGUUUGUCUAAUUAUCAUUCAAAGUUGAAUUUCCAAGGUUAUAUUCCUAUCUAGCAUACAUGGUGAACAAUUUUAACUUGAAUGAAAGAUAUAAUAACUUACCUUGUUGUUGCUUAUGUUCCUUGAAACCGUGUGAGCCUAGCACCCCAAGUGUGAUGCCUCAAAUGCUUCACACAACACCAAAUGCUCUUGGAAAGACUCUUGAGAUAAUACACACUUCUUCAAAUCGGCCAAGCCCUCUAGUUUCUUAUGUCUAGCCGAUUUUGGUGGAGAAUGGGACUCUUAUAUAGUGUUGACACAUCUAGGGUUACACCAUGUAAACCCUAAUGUGUCAUGACUCUUCAUUUCCAUGACCCAUGGGUUUGUAACUCCCAUGGAGCAUCCAUGGAGCAUCCUAUGGGUAGAACCCAACUUGAUAAUCCAUGGAGCCUCUUAGCCCACUAUACAAGAUAUGGAUGAUUUACAUAAUCAACCCAUAUAUUUAAUUAGUUAUCUUUUGAUCACUUAAUUAAUUCCAAAUUAAUUCUUUGAUCAAACUAAUCAAAUAAUAUUAUUAAUUUAUUAGAACUUAUAAUAUAUUAAUAUACUCCAAGUGUUAUUUCUCUCAUUUAGUCUAUCCAAUUGCAUGGUGCCAUGCAAACCAAAUGGACCAUGCCAGGUCGGGUCAAGUACACACCUGAAAUAGUUAUGGACUUAGACACCUUAUCCAACAGUCUCCCACUUGGAUAAGUCUAAUAACUAUAUCUCUAGUACUUCAGGAACCGACCGGCAAUCGUAGCUCUUUCAAGGUCUCUCGGAACUGAGAAGAUGAUGGUACGCCAUUUAAGAUAAGUGAUCAUAUAAUCCUCCGUUCUAGAUAUCAGCCGGACAAAUACAUGGAACAUUGUCUUGCUUAUUGUCCAGCAUUUGUUUCCCGAUUUCCGAUUUGUUUGACAUAGAACUUAAUUGAACACAUCAACUUAGUUCUGACCGGGCCCGGUACAUGGGUCAAAACAAAAUCAUCGAGGGGCCCAGAUAUCAGCUUCUAAUCCAAGAAGGAACAGAUAAACUUCGACUCAUAUGUUUGUUCUACCACUCAUUGAAUUACAC
This 1621-nucleotide long non-coding RNA is filed under the name Lactuca sativa (garden lettuce). Its description in RNAcentral is "long non-coding RNA (LSAT_LNC009587)". The record is from RNAcentral. Lineage: Eukaryota; Viridiplantae; Streptophyta; Magnoliopsida; Asterales; Asteraceae.